RNAcentral lists this ribosomal RNA (253 nucleotides) under uncultured bacterium. RNAcentral describes it as "partial 16S ribosomal RNA". It matches the Rfam family "Bacterial small subunit ribosomal RNA", at positions 524 to 776 of the family's 1533-position model. The record is from RNAcentral.
UACGUAGGCAGCGAGCGUUGUUCGGAGUUACUGGGCGUAAAGCGUGCGUAGGCGGUGUCUUAAGUUUGUUGUGAAAUCUCCCGGCUUAACCGGGAGGGUGCGGCGAAUACUGAGAUGCUGGAGUGCCGGAGAGGUAAGCGGAAUUCCUGGUGUAGCGGUGAAAUGCGUAGAUAUCAGGAGGAGCACCUGUGGUGUAGACAGCUUACUGGACCACUUCUGACGCUGAGACACGAAAGCGUGGGUAGCGAACAGG